RNAcentral lists this ribosomal RNA (1470 nucleotides) under uncultured Bordetella sp. RNAcentral's name for it is "partial 16S-23S ribosomal RNA intergenic spacer". It matches the Rfam family "Bacterial small subunit ribosomal RNA". The record is from RNAcentral. Lineage: Bacteria; Pseudomonadati; Pseudomonadota; Betaproteobacteria; Burkholderiales; Alcaligenaceae.
GGUUCGGUGGCUCAGAUUGAACGCUGGCGGAUAGCACUGCACAUGCAAGUCGGGCAACUGGCUUCGGUCUGGCGGUGGCGAGUGGCGAACGGGUGAGGAAGUAAUGUAUCGGAACGUGCUAGUAGCGGGGGAUAACUACGCGAGCGUAGCUAAUACCACAUACCUUCGGGAAAGCGGGGGACCUUCGGGCCUCGCACUAUUAGAGCGGCGAUAUCGGAUUAGAUAGUUGGUGGGGUAACGGCUCACAAAGGCGACGAUCCGUAGCUGGUUUGAGAGGACGACCAGCCACACUGGGACUGAGACACGGCCCAGACUCCUACAGGAGGCAGCAGUGGGGAAUUUUGGACAAUGGAAACCUGAUCCAGCCAUCGCGUGUGCGAUGAAGGCCUUCGGGUUAUGUAAAGCACUUUUGGCAGGAAAGAAACGGCACGGGAUAAUACCCCGUGCAACUGACCCGGUACCUGCAGAAUAAGCACCGGCUAACUACGUGCCAGCAGCCGCGGUAAUACGUAGGGUGCAGCGUUAAUCGGAAUUACUGGGCGUAAAGCGUGCGCAGGCGGUUCGGAAAGAAAGAUGCUGAAAUCCCAGAGCUUAACUUUGGAACUGCAUUUUUAACUACCGAGCUAGAGUGUCAGAGGGAGGUGGAAUUCCGCGUGUAGCAGUGAAAUGCGUAGAUAUGCGGAGGAACACCGAUGGCGAAGGCAGCCUCCUGGGAUAACACUGACGCUCAUGCACGAAAGCGUGGGGAGCAAACAGGAUUAGAUACCCUGGUAGUCCAUGCCCUAAACGAUGUCAACUAGCUGUUGGGGCCUUCGGGCCUUGGUAGCGCAACUAACGCGUGAAGUUGACCGCCUGGGGAGGAUUACGGUCGCAAGAUUAAAACUCAAAGGAAUUGACGGGGACCCGCACAAGCGGUGGAUGAUGUGGAUUAAUUCGAUGCAACGCGAAAAGGCCGCCUACCCUUGACAUGUCUGGAAUCCCGAAGUUGGGAGUGCUCGCAAGAGAACCGGAACACAGGUGCUGCAUGGCUGUCGUCAGCUCGUGUCGUGAGAUGUUGGGUUAAGUCCGCAACGAGCGCAACCCUUGUCGUAGUUGCUACGAAAGACGCGCUCUAAUGAGACUGCCGGUGAUAAACCGGAGGAAGGUGGGAAUGACGUCAAGUCCUCAUGGCCCUUAUGGGUAGGGCUUCACACGUCAUACAAUGGUCGGGACAGAGGGUCGCCAACCCCGCGAGGGGGAGCCAAUCCCAGAAACCCGAUCGUAGUCCGGAUCGCAGUCUGCAACUCGACUGCGUGAAGUCGGAAUCGCUGGUAAUCGCGGAUCAGCAUGUCGCGGUGAAUACGUUCCCGGGUCUUGUACACCGCCCGUCACACCAUGGGAGUGGGUUUUACCAGAAGUAGUUAGCCUAACCGUAAGGAGGGCGAUUACCACGGUAGGAUUCAUGACUGGGGUGAAGUCGUAACAAGGUAG